Molecule: ribosomal RNA, 109 nt
Filed under: Monopterus albus (swamp eel)
Lineage: Eukaryota; Metazoa; Chordata; Actinopteri; Synbranchiformes; Synbranchidae
Source: RNAcentral
UUUAGUAGCUAUGCCGUCCUGGUUGUGCCUGACUUCAUCUAAUCUUGGUAGUGAAGGUCUGGUUGGUACUUGGAUGGGGGACCACCUGGGAAUACCAAGUGCUGUAGGU